RNAcentral lists this ribosomal RNA (1281 nucleotides) under Arthrobacter sp. SCS3-L2O2b. Its description in RNAcentral is "bacterial SSU rRNA". It matches the Rfam family "Bacterial small subunit ribosomal RNA", at positions 56 to 1350 of the family's 1533-position model. The record is from RNAcentral. Lineage: Bacteria; Bacillati; Actinomycetota; Actinomycetes; Micrococcales; Micrococcaceae.
UGCAAGUCGAACGAUGAUCCCAGCUUGCUGGGGGAUUAGUGGCGAACGGGUGAGUAACACGUGAGUAACCUGCCCUUGACUCUGGGAUAAGCCUGGGAAACUGGGUCUAAUACCGGAUACGACCAUCUGACGCAUGUCAUGGUGGUGGAAAGCUUUUGUGGUUUUGGAUGGACUCGCGGCCUAUCAGCUUGUUGGUGGGGUAAUGGCCUACCAAGGCGACGACGGGUAGCCGGCCUGAGAGGGUGACCGGCCACACUGGGACUGAGACACGGCCCAGACUCCUACGGGAGGCAGCAGUGGGGAAUAUUGCACAAUGGGCGAAAGCCUGAUGCAGCGACGCCGCGUGAGGGAUGACGGCCUUCGGGUUGUAAACCUCUUUCAGUAGGGAAGAAGCGAAAGUGACGGUACCUGCAGAAGAAGCGCCGGCUAACUACGUGCCAGCAGCCGCGGUAAUACGUAGGGCGCAAGCGUUAUCCGGAAUUAUUGGGCGUAAAGAGCUCGUAGGCGGUUUGUCGCGUCUGCUGUGAAAGACCGGGGCUCAACUCCGGUUCUGCAGUGGGUACGGGCAGACUAGAGUGCAGUAGGGGAGACUGGAAUUCCUGGUGUAGCGGUGAAAUGCGCAGAUAUCAGGAGGAACACCGAUGGCGAAGGCAGGUCUCUGGGCUGUAACUGACGCUGAGGAGCGAAAGCAUGGGGAGCGAACAGGAUUAGAUACCCUGGUAGUCCAUGCCGUAAACGUUGGGCACUAGGUGUGGGGGACAUUCCACGUUUUCCGCGCCGUAGCUAACGCAUUAAGUGCCCCGCCUGGGGAGUACGGCCGCAAGGCUAAAACUCAAAGGAAUUGACGGGGGCCCGCACAAGCGGCGGAGCAUGCGGAUUAAUUCGAUGCAACGCGAAGAACCUUACCAAGGCUUGACAUGAACCGGAAAGACCUGGAAACAGGUGCCCCGCUUGCGGUCGGUUUACAGGUGGUGCAUGGUUGUCGUCAGCUCGUGUCGUGAGAUGUUGGGUUAAGUCCCGCAACGAGCGCAACCCUCGUUCUAUGUUGCCAGCGCGUUAUGGCGGGGACUCAUAGGAGACUGCCGGGGUCAACUCGGAGGAAGGUGGGGACGACGUCAAAUCAUCAUGCCCCUUAUGUCUUGGGCUUCACGCAUGCUACAAUGGCCGGUACAAAGGGUUGCGAUACUGUGAGGUGGAGCUAAUCCCAAAAAGCCGGUCUCAGUUCGGAUUGGGGUCUGCAACUCGACCCCAUGAAGUCGGAGUCGCUAGUAAUCGCAGAUC